GUCCACACAGUAAACGAUGAUGACUCGCUGUCGGCGAUACAAUGUCGGUGGUCAAGAGAAAUCGAUAAGUCAUCCACCUGGGGAGUACGACCGCAAGGUUGAAACUCAAAGGAAUUGACGGGGGGCCCGCACAAGCGGAGGAACAUGUGGUUUAAUUCGAUGAUACGCGAGGAACCUUACCCGGGGCUCGAACGGCUGGUGAACGACAUAGAGAUAUGAAGGUCCUUCGCGACGCCAGUCGAGGUGCUGCAUGGUUGUCGU
This 261-nucleotide ribosomal RNA is filed under the name uncultured bacterium. RNAcentral describes it as "partial 16S ribosomal RNA". It matches the Rfam family "Bacterial small subunit ribosomal RNA", at positions 793 to 1055 of the family's 1533-position model. The record is from RNAcentral.